AACCCACCCAAUGGUUACGCUGCGCAUCAGCAUUGUUCGGCCAAUUCGCUCCUCCCCCUCAAAAAAAAAGGCCAAUUCGCUCCACCCUGACCAAAACCCUACCCGCCGGGGGCCAGCUCCGUCGCGGCGUUGCGGGGAGGCAGAGGCGCGAGGCGAACAUCAACAGCGACUCCGCCGUCCUUCCCGCUCGACGAUGCGUGGGGGGCCACGGGUCUGUGUAUUGGCACGGGCCUUUCCUAAAUUAAGGAUAAGGUCCAAUAAAUCUGCUGCUGUAAUUUGGUGCUUUAAGAUUCUAGCACUUUCUACAACUUGGAAGCUAAUAUCUUCAAAAUUAAUCUACUUUGAAUAUUAGUGCCAGCUGAAUUUGAAUGCCAUUGUGACGGUCCACUUCAUGUAUGUCUUAAAAGUAUCUGCAAAGGGGGAAGAGAACAGAGAUAGACGAUAUGAAACUCUGCUUGCAUUUCUUUAUGCAGCCCAUACUGAUUCUAAUCUACUUCUCUGUCUUACAAUUUUUUUUAAGGAAACAACAGUGUGCUGCCUAUGCAUUAAGAAGGAAGAGUUUUACAGGAGAGCUGUAAAAUAAUUAUAAGAAGCUGAUACCCUUAAUCAGCUUGAAUCCAAUUUGAGCUUGAAGGAAGCUGAUACUUGGCCUGCCGAGAAUUUAGCCUCAAGAUGCCUGUGGCCGUGAGAAGGCCGCAACUGAGCUGAGUUGUGCAAGCACUACACUACACCAGAGGACUUUGUCAUUCACUGCUGUGUUGGCCAUUUCUACAGUGUUGAUGGAUAAUUUGAGGCCUGGAAAGGUGGCCACGAGAAGGCACCGGUUGCCUUCUGCGGAAUGGCUUGGACCUCCACCAACCAUCUGCCUGCAGAGUUGCAGAAAUAGUGUGGUCUGCGUGGAGCUGUGGAGACUGUUGUUGUGUUGCAGUAGGUUAAACUGUUAAAUAUUGAAGUGUUGCCAAGGUCUUGAUGGAUAAGUGUUCCGAAUAGUUUGUUGUAUGGAAUACAUUGGUAAUACAAUGGCUGGCUUGAAGCUGGUGAAACUGCUACUCAGGGAGGCGUUUGUGUUGGAGGCGAUGGGUAUCAUGCCUUCCAAGGAUGCUGUGUUGACUGUUCUAACCAUGAGAAAAGGUGAGAUGCAAAACUGUCCCGACACCGCCAUCUCCUUCAACAAGCUUGGCCUUUUUGAAGAUAUCGGGAAGCAAUUGAGGAACUACCUGGCUAAUACCGAGACCUCGAUACAUCUCCCAUACCUCCGCCGCGGGGAGGCCUGUCUCGAAGUCAUGGCAAAGGCUACCUUUCAUUGCUUCUAUGAGCUCUGGGUGGAAUGCCAAAGAUUGCACGG
Molecule: long non-coding RNA, 1345 nt
Organism: Triticum aestivum (bread wheat)
Lineage: Eukaryota; Viridiplantae; Streptophyta; Magnoliopsida; Poales; Poaceae
Exons: 4
Source: RefSeq, a predicted model, not a curated record